GCCUGUAAAAAGAAUGCUGCAUUUAAAAGAAAAUACCAAGAUUCCCACCUGUGUUACGGGUUCAUAUCGCAACAGGUGAUUCACAAGACCCACAACCCACUCUGCGUGACAGACCUGCUCAUGAAACCAUGAAAACCUCAAAAGUGUGCCGCCACGCGGAGACAAAACACCCAGCAUUGAAAGAAAAGCCCUCAGAAAUAUUCUGAAAGAAGAAAACGGGAACAUAAAGGACAGAAAGAGUUAUUGAAGGCCACUACUUGCACAAAUAUGUCUGGGCUAAAUGCACCAUUCCUGGUCGCAGAUCGCAUGGGGAGCCUGCAGUAAAAAAGGUUGAAAACACCCCACUUUCGGUGAGCACAAUAAGAAGAAUAAAUGAAAGAGCAGGGGGACAUCGAGGCACAGUUAAUCGAGAGGAUAACGCAUAACUGCCAUGCUUUUAGGAUAACUUAAGCUGAGCAUGCCGAUAAACAACUUCAAGCCGGUUUUUGAAGAAUGCUUCACUCUCUGCUGCCUGUUGUCAAGUUUGUUCAGAAUCCAGUGCUUAAAAGCUCAUUCUCUCUAAAAUUGGCCCAGCGACAGCUCGUAUCUGGAGACGAAUUUCAAAGUCGACUCACUCCGAAUUUGAGCCUACCGGGUCCAGCAUGAAGAAGUUGAGGCCGGCACCGGUGCUGAGGGCCACCAGGGUGGCGCUGCCGUAGAGGGCGUAACCGGCGCACACCAUACUGCUGCCCGGCUGGAGGGCGUCCUCCUCGGUGGGCUCGCCCUCGCUCACCUGAGUGGACCACACGCUUGCAGACGGCAAAGAUGGUGCCGAUGGAAGCCAGACAGUCGAUGUUGCUGGAGCCGUCCAGAGGGUCAAAGCACACCACGUACUUCCCCUGGAACACACAAGUUGAACGCCAUUCACUCAGUGGGCUGCAUGUAUAGAUACGGUAUGCGUACAUACAUGAUGAUACAGUAUACAGUUCUUUGUACCAAUCUCUAUCAGGGGUUACCCAGCAGGUGAGAUUCACGCCUUGCAUACCAAUUAAUUUGCCAGUUUGAUCGACACUUCCAAAUGAACAAACACUACAUGCUCAAAUUACUCCCCGAGAGGGGUUGCGUCGGGAAGGGCAUAAA
Long non-coding RNA from Syngnathoides biaculeatus (alligator pipefish), 1119 nucleotides. RefSeq lists it as uncharacterized. The record is from RefSeq and is a predicted model, not a curated record. NCBI's taxonomy places the organism in Eukaryota, Metazoa, Chordata, Actinopteri, Syngnathiformes, Syngnathidae. The transcript has 4 exons.